Molecule: long non-coding RNA, 329 nt
Organism: Brienomyrus brachyistius
Lineage: Eukaryota; Metazoa; Chordata; Actinopteri; Osteoglossiformes; Mormyridae
Exons: 3
Source: RefSeq, a predicted model, not a curated record
GCACUCACCAUGUGUGCGUGAAACCAGAGUCGUAAGGACUUAAGGAGCACGUCACUUCAGGGAUCAGAUUACACUAAGGAGACACAGUUCCUCCGUCUUCUGCCGUCUCCUGUGCCUGGCAUGUCGCACCUUGGCCAGUCCCCCUGCCACUCCCAGUGAGUGACAGUCUCGUCCCAGUUGGCUGUUGAAGGACUCAAGGCCAGAGACAUGCUGCUUGAUCUGGGUGUGGGGAUCCCCAGCCCAGGUGCAGAAUAUGCAGACGACAUUUUACUCAUGUGAUCUGACUGACAGGAAGAACUACCCAGACAGAAGCAAGCAUGGAGACCUUC